AAAUUGAAGAGUUUGAUCAUGGCUCAGAUUGAACGCUGGCGGCAGGCCUAACACAUGCAAGUCGAGCGGUAGCACAGAGAGCUUGCUCUCGGGUGACGAGCGGCGGACGGGUGAGUAAUGUCUGGGAAACUGCCUGAUGGAGGGGGAUAACUACUGGAAACGGUAGCUAAUACCGCAUAACGUCGCAAGACCAAAGUGGGGGACCUUCGGGCCUCAUGCCAUCAGAUGUGCCCAGAUGGGAUUAGCUAGUAGGUGGGGUAACGGCUCACCUAGGCGACGAUCCCUAGCUGGUCUGAGAGGAUGACCAGCCACACUGGAACUGAGACACGGUCC
This 333-nucleotide ribosomal RNA is filed under the name Klebsiella pneumoniae. RNAcentral describes it as "bacterial SSU rRNA". It matches the Rfam family "Bacterial small subunit ribosomal RNA", at positions 1 to 332 of the family's 1533-position model. The record is from RNAcentral. Lineage: Bacteria; Pseudomonadati; Pseudomonadota; Gammaproteobacteria; Enterobacterales; Enterobacteriaceae.